This 374-nucleotide ribosomal RNA is filed under the name uncultured organism. Its description in RNAcentral is "partial 16S ribosomal RNA". It matches the Rfam family "Bacterial small subunit ribosomal RNA", at positions 527 to 896 of the family's 1533-position model. The record is from RNAcentral.
GUAGGUGGCAAGCGUUGUCCGGGAAUUAUUGGGGCGUAAAGCGCGCGCAGGCGGUCCUUUAAGUCUGAUGUGAAAGCCCACGGGCUCAACCGUGGAGGGUCAUUGGAAACUGGGGGACUUGAGUGCAGAAGAGAAGAGUGGAAUUCCACGUGUAGCGGUGAAAUGCGUAGAGAUGUGGAGGAACACCAGUGGCGAAGGCGACUCUUUGGUCUGUAACUGACGCUGAGGCGCGAAAGCGUGGGGAGCAAACAGGAUUAGAUACCCUGGUAGUCCACGCCGUAAACGAUGAGUGCUAAGUGUUAGAGGGUUUCCGCCCUUUAGUGCUGCAGCAAACGCAUUAAGCACUCCGCCUGGGGAGUACGGCCGCAAGGCCG